ACCUAUCUUUGUUUGAAAUACAGUCCGCAAUCCUCUAAUUCAUCUUAUCCAAACUCCUUCCUUUCCAGCGACGGCGGAGCACGGGCAGGUGACGGGCGGCGCCCUUGUCGUCGGACGGCUACAACCGCGGUGGAGGAGAAGGCAGACGUCGUGGGUGCGUGCUUGGGUAAGGGAGGCCACCCUUGCUGUGCUCGUGGGCGUUCAUGGAGGAUGGAAGGGGGGACAGCUUCCUGUGGGUGCGCCGGCUGUGCUCGUGGGCGUUCAUGGAGGAUGGAAGGAAAUUGGAGGCCUGACCUGUCCUUCUCCAACACAAAUUGAUGGAGCGCCCGACCUGGAUUUGAUUGGCUGCUAUUAGUAAGGGUCCUCGGCCGGAAUCUCCAUCAGGUCGUGCCCUGGGACCAUAAUCUCCAUCAUCCCGUCGAAAUUGCAAUUUUUGACCAAACGUCCAAUGUCACCGCCAAGUUCGCCGGAGGAAAAAGCGCCGAGUUCGCCGGAGGAACAAGAACAUCCGUCGAGCCGUGCAAUGUCUCCUAUGGAGGCUACACGAGAGGUACGUAUCCCCUUGAAAGCUAAUCACUCGAUGGUAUCCCCUGUUUUAGUCAUUGUUUCUGUCCCAUCACUCGAGGGAGUACUAAACAACUUUUCUCUCUGUAGUUUCUGGGGUUGUCCAACAUGUGUUUCUCAGAUUAAUGCCUUCAACACCCCUCUUUCCACAUGCAUGCAUGUAGUAGCAGAUUGCCUGAUCUGUUGGCCUAAAUAUUCUCUUUGCAGUGCUCUUAUUAUUAGUUCAGACUUGCAGACCCAUGUUUUUUGCUCAAAUCAAUCUGUCAAAACUCCAUUACAGUUGCACAAGACCUGAUAUGCAAACGUUUGCGUGGAGCUAACUUCUUUGGGCAUGCGGCCAGUGUGUAUGUGCAUAUUUUUCAGUAGAAUUAAGUGCCUGGUGCCACUUGAAAGAAUAAAAUAAUGAUCAGCUAUUUUUUGUUACAGUUACGAUUUAGUCAACAUUGAUGUCCUUCUGCAAAAAGCUUAUUUUGAUCUGGAGUUGCAAAGAUUUUUUACAAGCAUUUGUAGAAUGGGAUGCGCCGUCGCCGCCGCCAGCACGGUCCCAACAGCUGCCGCGAGUCUCCACGAUCGACGUCGCCGUCCGUCUGUGCCCCGAGCUCGACGGUUCUCCGGCUGACAAGCAUUCGUUCAUGUCCCCGCCAGUGUUAGGCGUUGCUCGCCACCGCCCCAGAUCGCUUUCGUGCGUCAUCGCCGCCCCAAGCUCCAUGAGCUAAUUGAAGAGGGAGUGCUUGGCCUGCUUCAUGUAUUGUCUCAAAACAACUUGCCGUGCCAUAUUUCUGUGCUUCAUGUAUUGUCUGAAUACUUGAGAGUUUCAAGGAUCCCAGAUGUUCCAAAGGAUGAGCAAAGUCAUGAAACGCUUCGAAUUGAUGAUUUCCUGCCAGUUUGGAGUAUGCCAGUACCACACCAAACAACUUUGCUGUAGGACACUGAAUGAAUAGACGAGAGCAAGUUUCUGUGGCUUGGAGACACAUGGGGCAGAUAUCUGAAUCAAGUAUGGUCUUGUGUAAAUUUCGAAAUGUGUUCAUUCUUCCGUUAUGCAGUAGCCAUCCAAAAAGAAUACAUUGUUGGGCACCCUUGAGGACCAAACCAGAGAGAGACUGGGAUCAUCAAUUCGUUGGUAUCUCUAUCCCCAACCAAACUAUGGAUCAUCCAACCUUCGGUCAGGUUCACUAUCUUCAAUCUUAGUGCUGCAUAUUCCUAUUUGAAUGAUACUUGGUGCAUAAAAUUAGUGAUUCAGAAAAAACAUUUUUUCUUUGUUACGAACAAAUAUGCAACUCUCCCAGAUAGAAGAUUACCACUAAAAGAGAACAACUAUUAGUCAUGGUAGGUGAAGUCAGAUUGUGUACUGGCAUUGUUGUAAUCUCUGUAUCCUAUUUCUUGCCACUGUUUGUGUUAUUUUGCUUACACAGAAUGGCCAUGUUUAUCUUAAAUUUCCUUUGUCAAUUGCCUUUAAACUAACAAAUCAGGGUAAUAAAUAGAAUGUGUUUGUUCCAUUACACAAAACUGUACCAUUAUCUAUUAUUGAAUAGUUGGAUCAUAAACUUUUCAUAAUCUUUUGUUGUAGAAGAGCAAUGUUCUACCUACUUAUAACUAUAUGUUAUUCUUGAGUUGUUAUUUGUAGAGUUAACUACCCAUAUCUUUUAUAACUAUACAUUAUUUGCUUAUAACUAUACAUUAUUUGCUUAUACUUGCCAGUAGUGUAGCUUUCUGCUGGACCAUAUAUCCUGCCAGGAGAAGUUUCAGUGACCAAUGGAAGCUUUGAUGUAUUCUUUUCAAGCAAAAGUAAUUGUCUAUUACCCAUGUCAGGUUUCGACUCAAAUUGUGGUGCUUCUGUUCUAUGCAAUUUUAUUUUCUUACUGAUGCUAUGUUCUGGCAUUCCUUAUCUUUUAUGCGUGAUGUGUGUCUUAGUGCUAAUAAGACCUAUUCUUUUCCCAAUGGUAAAUCCACCUUUUCCCCAUCAUGUGACUUAAAACUAACCUGUUUCGGUGUAGUUUUUCUUCUCUUUCUUUUACUGUAACAUAGACCAUGCUCACAUGGUCGCAACUUGUAAACAGAGAUGGAAACGUGCAUACAUAUCUCUCAAGCAUGCAAUAUUUUUCCAGGGUGACAAUUUUUUUA
Molecule: long non-coding RNA, 2685 nt
Organism: Triticum aestivum (bread wheat)
Lineage: Eukaryota; Viridiplantae; Streptophyta; Magnoliopsida; Poales; Poaceae
Exons: 2
Source: RefSeq, a predicted model, not a curated record